This 63-nucleotide transfer RNA is filed under the name Fukomys damarensis (Damara mole-rat). It matches the Rfam family "tRNA". Rfam says of the family: Transfer RNA (tRNA) molecules are approximately 80 nucleotides in length. Lineage: Eukaryota; Metazoa; Chordata; Mammalia; Rodentia; Bathyergidae. The record is from Rfam by way of RNAcentral.
GGGGAUGUAGCUCAGUGGUAGAGCACUCACCUAAUAAGUGUGAGGCCCGAGAUUUCAUUCUUA